RNAcentral lists this long non-coding RNA (416 nucleotides) under Nicotiana benthamiana. RNAcentral's name for it is "long non-coding RNA (NBEN_LNC027333)". The record is from RNAcentral. Lineage: Eukaryota; Viridiplantae; Streptophyta; Magnoliopsida; Solanales; Solanaceae.
GUGAAGACAAAAGACCAGUUAAGCAAAUCAACAGCCAAUGCACAGUAUGCCCAGAGUUUCAACAGAAUUGUGAAAGAAUUAAGCUCUAAUAGGAUCAAAUUCAACCACUGAUAGUAUUUUAGAUAUGAGUAUUUUAGCUCUAAUAUUGAAGAAAACAAUUGCAGAUCCCUAUCUAAUGCCCCAAAUGGUUCAUUUUAUAGUAGAAUAUUUCGGGCAUCAAAUUUUACUUUGUUUCUUUUUAGUCCUCAACACAAUUUGUAUUUUGGCCUAAGGAGUUCUUCAAUUUCUGACUUGUGCCUCAAGUUUGAGUCUGGAAUUAUGUAUUAGUCCAUGCUAGAAAGUUCUAAAAGGAUUCUUAUGAGAUUUUUUAUAAGUUCAAAUCCCUUUUAUACCCUUACUAGCUUUCCUAAAUUACC